Long non-coding RNA from Eubalaena glacialis (North Atlantic right whale), 1852 nucleotides. RefSeq lists it as uncharacterized. The transcript is spliced from 6 exons. NCBI's taxonomy places the organism in Eukaryota, Metazoa, Chordata, Mammalia, Artiodactyla, Balaenidae. The record is from RefSeq and is a predicted model, not a curated record.
GCGCGCGCCGCGAGUGAGUGGUUCAGCCCGGCCCCGGCUCAUUGUGCUCGCCUCACGCCGGCCCGAGUUGGCGGCAGCGCUGGAGGUCCCGGGCCUGUGACCACAAAGAGGGAGCCGGGGGCCAGACGGGAGCGCGGCGGCGGCCCCGGCUGAGGCCCAGGCCAGGCCCCCUCCCCUCAGCCGCCAGCCCGCCCGCCUGACCCGCCCCCGCCGGCGGGCGUCCCGCCCCUCCCCCAACCGCCAGACUAGCCUGGUGCGGGGGCCGCGCGCGAAGACGUGGGGGAGAAGUUGGAGCUGAAGCUGGAGUCGUCCGUGGGGGCCGAGCCCGCCGUCUACGCGUGGCCGCUGCCGGUCUACGACAAACCCCACGAUGCUGCUCACAAAAUCAGCGAGACCAUCCGGAGGAAAAGAGACGUAGAGUUACAUCCAGAGAAUGAGUUGCUGGACCGCUCCCUGCAGAAGAACCGGGAAGAGUAAAACCAGGAACACACGUGGAAGAAGAAGAGAGAGAUGAUAAAGUAAAGCCUGGUCACCUCCAGGGCCGCUUCGUGCGCGGUGCCGGUCGCCCCUCCUCAGGGGGAAGGAGACCCGGGCCGACUCCGCUCCACUGACCUGCCGCUGCCCGUCCGGGACGUGGCCGAACAGCCGGUCACAGGCUUUGCCUGUCGGAAAGGAGGGCUGCGAUGGGGCUGUGCCGACGGAAGGGGAGGAUGGAGCCGCCGACAGUCCCCGUUUGCCAGGCAGAGCUUCAUCGUGGACCCUCUUCUCAGCAGCCCUGCGCAGCAGGGACACCCAGGCCUGGCGAGUCUGCGCCCCACCCAGGGCCGCUGGGUUCCUGCGCGGCAGCCCCGGCAUCUCCUGCUGAGAAACCCCAGAGACCGUGCUCCGUCCCCCGAGCCCACCGCAGUGCUGCAGAGCCCAAGGGGGUUGGGGCUUCACCCCAAACUUGAGGAAGCCACAGCUGGGGGCCGCGGCACAAGCGCGGGUCCCACCAUCCCCGCAGGAGCAGACCCCGCGGAGGGUCUAUCUUUUGGAAGUAAAUUUAGACUAACAGGUUUUACACACACAAUCUUAGAGCUGGGAAAAGUCCUUUGUGUCAUUCAUGUAGCUUCAUAAGAUUUUUUUUUUUAAUGAGAGGAUGGAUUUCCUUGAGCAAGAGUGAAUUUCCAGGAAUGGGUCCCUGGAUACCAAGGACUGUUUUGGGGAAGAAAGACGAAUCUAUUCUGCGAACGCCUUAUAGAACUUAUUCUAUAUUGUAGUUCUGUCUGGAAACACAUGUACCGUUGAUCUUUGUAGCAGCCCUUAACAUCCUCAAGAGAAGCUCUCAUUUCCCCAUUAGUACUUGUUAUAGACUGAAUAUUUGGGUCCCCCCAGCAUUCACAUGUUGACACCCAUCCAAUGUGAUAGUAUUAGAAGGUGGGUCUUUUGGGAGGUGAUUAGGAUUUGAUGAGGUCAUCGGGAUGGAGCCCUCAUGAUGAGAUUCUUACCCUUGUGAGAGUCAUGAGAGAGCUGGCUUUUUCUCUCUGCUCUCUGCCCUGUGAGGACACAAUGAGAAGUGGACAGUCUGCAACCCGGAAGAGAGUCCUCACCAGAAGGCGAUGAUCCUGGCACCUAGAUCUCAGACUUCCAGCCACCAGGACUGAGAAAUAUAUUUUUGUUGUUUACAAGCCCCCACCGCGCCCCGUUUAUGGUACUUUGUGACAGCGGCCCAAACUGACUUAGCACUCUUUUCUUCAAGUAAAUGGAAGAAUUUGUGGAGCCCAUCUAUUUUAUGAUACAAUUUCCCAAAUAACCAAGAUUCUCUCUAUACACUCUGAUUUGUCAACUUUUUUAUUUAUCAAAAUUGUUAUAA